Molecule: non-coding RNA, 802 nt
Organism: Pantherophis guttatus
Lineage: Eukaryota; Metazoa; Chordata; Lepidosauria; Squamata; Colubridae
Source: RefSeq, a predicted model, not a curated record
AGCCAAUCCAACCACCAAUCAGCUGCUCGUGUUGAAUCAGGCUGCAAUAAUGUGCUGAAACUGACCACGCUGUUUGCUGUUUGCUGCAAGGACACUAAUCAGAUGAAUACUGAUGGAUGCUGUUUGGAUGAAUCAUUGCUCUGGUUAAGCAUUCCUAGAUCAUGAAGUCCUGAAACUAAACUGGCAGGGGGAGAGAAGAUAGCCUCAGGCAGCAGCCAUGGAUUAAUCAAGAUUCGACUACUUGUCAGUGCUGAAGAAAGAUUCGGCUGCUCCUAAGUCAAGUGUUAUAUUGAAAUGCUCCAAACAAACAAGCAAGAAUAAAGAAGGAUUUCUUCUGCAUCCCAGAAUAGAAGCCCGGGGAAAGAUUUGAAGAAGAAUGUCACAUAUCACUGUGACAAGAGCAUAUUCUAGCUGGAGAUGCUCUAUGAAUGCAGCAAAGUUACAAACAACACAAGAAGCCCGACAGCACAAGAACAAAGAAGUCAGCAAAUCUGAGUAAUCUUGUUCUAUUGGCUUUUUGCUGCUUCUUUUUCCCCAAAUAGAUCAAACAUCUUCAGAGUCCUGAGAUAGUCAUGUCACAGAUGGAUGGAUGCACCCUGAAUGAAAUACCCAUGAAUCCAUGCAUGAAGGAUUCCCCUCCCCCCAAAGAUUAUGGGAAAAAGGAUAAAGAGAAAUGUCCUUUAAAAAAUACCCUAAAUAUCAGAAUGAAGAUGGACUUAAACUGAUUCAGGAACUUUCACUGGUUGGUUUUGAGGAGAUUCAGUAUGGCAAAACCUGAAUAGAGUUCUCUUAACUAAUAGUU